UACGUAGGGUCCAAGCGUUAAUCGGAAUUACUGGGCGUAAAGCGUGCGCAGGCGGUUCGUUAAGUCAGCUGUGAAAGCCCCGGGCUCAACCUGGGAAUUGCGGUUGAAACUGGCGAACUAGAAUCUGGCAGAGGGGGGUGGAAUUCCACGUGUAGCAGUGAAAUGCGUAGAGAUGUGGAGGAACACCGAUGGCGAAGGCAGCCCCCUGGGCUGAGAUUGACGCUCAGGCACGAAAGCGUGGGGAGCAAACCGG
Molecule: ribosomal RNA, 253 nt
Filed under: uncultured bacterium
Lineage: Bacteria
Description: partial 16S ribosomal RNA
Rfam family: Bacterial small subunit ribosomal RNA
Source: RNAcentral